AUACGGAGGAUCCGAGCGUUAUCCGGAAUCAUUGGGUUUAAAGGGUCCGUAGGCGGGCCGUUAAGUCAGGGGUGAAAGUCUGCGGCUCAACCGUAGAAUUGCCCUUGAUACUGAUGGCCUUGAGUUAUGGUGAAGCAGCCAGAAUAUGUGGUGUAGCGGUGAAAUGCAUAGAUAUCACAUGGAAUACCGAUUGCGAAGGCAGGCUGCUAACCAUAUACUGACGCUGAUGGACGAAAGCGUGGGUAGCGAACAGGAUUAGAUACCCUGGUAGUCCACGCCGUAAACGAUGGAUACUAGCUGUCCGGCGGCAACGCUGGGCGGCCCAGCGAAAGUGAUAAGUAUCCCACCUGGGGAGUACGUCCGCAAGGAUGAA
RNAcentral lists this ribosomal RNA (373 nucleotides) under uncultured bacterium. RNAcentral describes it as "bacterial SSU rRNA". It matches the Rfam family "Bacterial small subunit ribosomal RNA", at positions 523 to 898 of the family's 1533-position model. The record is from RNAcentral.